Molecule: long non-coding RNA, 4888 nt
Filed under: Equus caballus (horse)
Lineage: Eukaryota; Metazoa; Chordata; Mammalia; Perissodactyla; Equidae
Description: lncRNA (ENSECAG00000047754.1)
Source: RNAcentral
GCUUUCAGUUGGGAGCUCCGCUGUGGCACCUUGGUUCUCCUCCAAAUGGAUUCUCUUCUCCACGUGGUGCCUCACCCUCCAGGGCCUCUUUAUGUGGUCCUCCUCUCCAGGAGGAUAGCUUCAGAGCAUGGCAGGUGGGUUGGAAAAGAACCAGCUCAACGUGCAAGCGUUAACCAAGCCAGUGCUCGUGUAGAGCUCCUAGUGUCCUGGUAGCUAAAGAAAGUCGGUGAAUAAGAAUGAGCUUUUCCUCAAAGUAUGCGAUACCGGGCCAACACAAACAACAGAAGUAUAUUAGACACACACACUCAGAAAUUCUCUUUCUCUUUAUUUAUUUGACUGCACCAUCUGCCAAAACAUCAAAACAAACAAAACAUAUUUUUACCAUGUUGUGAUUGUAGCAUAUUUUACUUCAUUACAAAAGUACAGGCAAUUCAUUGUAUGUCAUGCAAGGCUGUUCAGAGCAUGGGGGCGGGGAGAGGUGUUUCAAGAAAUUAGGAAAACAAUUCCAUUUACAAUAUCAUCAGGAAGAGUAAAAUAUUUAGGAAUAAACUCAACUGAAAACUAUAAAAUAUUGCUGAAAGAAAUUAAAGAAGACACAAAUAAUUGAAAAGACCUUUCACAUUCAUGGAUUGGAAGGCUCAAUAUUGUUAAGAUGGUGAUACUACCAAAAGUGAUCUACAGAUUUAAUGCAAUCCCUAUUAAAACCCCAAUGCCAUUUUUUUGCAGAAAUAGAAAAAUCUAUCCUAAAAUUCACAUGGAAUCUCAAAGGACCUCAAAUAGCCAAAACAAACUUAAAAAAAGAAGAACAAAGUUGGAGGCAUCACACUUUCUGAUUUGAAAACUUCUUACAAAGCUACAAUAAUCAAAACAAUGUGGUCCUGGCAUAAAGACAGACAUAUAGACCAAUGAAAUAGAACAAAACCCCAGAAGUAAACCCUUAUGUACAUGGUCAAAUGAUUUUUGACAAGGGUGCCAGGUUCAUUCAAUGGUGAAAGGACAGUUUUUUCAACAAAUGUUGUUGGGAAAAGUGGACAUCUUUAUCUUACAUCAUAUACAAAAGUUAACAUAAAAUGGAUCAAAAACCUAAACAUAAGAGCUAAACCGUAAAACUCCUAGAAGAAAACAUAGUGGGAAAGCUUCAUAACUUUGGAUUUGGCAAUGAUUUCUUGGAUGUGACACCAAAAGCACAAGCAGCAAAACAAAAAUAGAUAAAUUGGAAUUCAUCAAAAGUUAAAACUUCUGGGCAUCAAAGGACACAAUCAAUAUAGUGAACAGGCAACCCAUGGAGUGGGCGAAAAUAUUUGCAAAUCAUAUAUUUAAUAAGGGAUUAAUAUCUAGAAUAUAUAAGGAACUCCUGCAACUCCACAACAAAAACAACAAAACCCCCAAUUUAAAAAUGGAUAAAGGACCUGAAUAGACAUUUCUCUAAGGAAGAUACACAAAUGGCCAGUGAGCACACGAAAAUGUGUUCAAUAUCACUAGUCAUUAGAACAAUGAAAAUCAAAAUCACAACAAGAUGCACCUCACACCCAUCAGGAUGGCUACUACCAAGAAAACGAGAGAAUGACAAGUUUUGGUGAAGACUCAGAAGUUGGAACCCUUGUGCACUGCUGUUGGGAAUGUAAAAUGGUGCAGUCAUUAUGGAAAACAUUAUGGUGGCUCCUCAAAAAAUUAAAAAUAGAGUUAUCACAUGACCUAGCAACCCCACUCCUGGGUAUCUACCCAAAAGAAUUGAAAGCAAGGUCUUAAAGAGAUAUUUGUACACCCACGUUCCCAGCAGCAUUAUUCACGAUAACCAAAAGGUGGCAGCAACCCAAGCGUCCCUCAGUGAAAGAAUGAAUAAACAAAAUGUGAAUAUACAUACAGUGGAAUAUCAUUCAGCCUUAAAAGGAACAGAAAUUCUGGCAUUUGCUACAACGUGGAUGAACCUGGAAGACAUCAUGCUGAGUGAAAUAAGCCAUUCACAGAAAGACAAACACCAUUCCUAUGAGGAAGGCUCAGAGAAAAUCCCAUUCACCAAGGCCGUAAUGUACCUGCAUCACCAGGAAGCUCCAUGGUGGCCCCCCUCUGCAGACAGUGGGAGAGGUUUCUACAGAGCUGGGCUCGCUGAACGCAAGAGGGAUGAUAGGACCCUGGAACAAGAGUGGCUAUGUGGUGACGCAACUCUCAGAAAUCAGGUGAAUGCAAUGAUCAUAAUCAGCAAAAAGCUCAGAGGGGCAAUCAAGGAAGGCUGGACCACAGAAUGUGAUGGAGAUGGAGACCACAUCCCCAGGGGCAAAAUACCUGUCAACAAGAGCACUACGCAACUUGUGCCAUUGGAAGAAAUCGAGGAUGGAUAUUCAGGAGGCCGGUGGUGGGUACCGCAAUAAAAGUCCCAAUAACUUGCCCCAGAGUUGGAAAACUCUGAACCCCUUGACUGAGAGGAGGGCCAGGUCUCCAAGAAAAAGGACCAUGCAACACCUGGGUGAAUGGGCACAGCCAAGAUACCUUGAGGUCUUCCUCAAAGGGAUCUAAGGACUCAGGGAACUCUUCACCAGGAAAAGGGGAAUAUCAAGUUUUUGGAGAACUGCGGGAGGUGACUGAUAUGUGGAGACCUGAAGAGUCAUCAUGGCCCUCUCGCUCUGUUGUGUGGGACAGAGGGCAGCCAAGCAAUAAGUAAAAUCUUGCCUGUGGUCUGGUGGCUCACAGUGGUUUCAAUAGGUCCACAGAUCCAAUCAGUUGUCGUUUCCCCCAUCUCCAAAUGUAUAACCGGGGUAGAUAUUCUCAGAACUUGGCACAACCUUCACAGUGGGUCUUUGGCCUGUGGGAUGGGAGCUUUCAAUGGGGAAAGCCAAGUGGAAUUUUCUAAAGCUACCCCCAUUCACAUAGCCAAGAUAGCAAAUAAAACAUGUGUAUGAUAUAUAUUUCAUCCUGGGGGAAGGAAGAAUAUGGGGGCAGUGAGGAGAGGGGACUAUGGGAUGUAUAAGAGGAGAGAGGGGCAGAUGGCUGAAGUUAGUGCUACCCUUAGGGAUCUAAAAGGUAGCAGGUUGGUUCUCCCUGUUAUAUCUCCAUUUAAUUAACCUGUCUGGCUCCUGAAGGAUCCAGGUUGGUCCUGGAGGCCAAGAGUGGACGACGGCAACUCAACCAAGUAGCCCGCCCAAACUGGGCCCAAUGAGGUAUUCUUGCUAGAGCAGAUUCACACAGCCUCCAGUACAUGGGAUGCAACCAUGGGUUUGGUAAAUGUGUUCUCUAUGGCUGUCAGAAAGGAGAUCAGAAAGAGUUUGCAUCUGCUUGAUACAUUUCUUUGCAGUUCACAAUACACAUUCACACUUUUGCCCCAGGGCUAUCUUAACUAUGCCUGAAGAAGUGUGGACCCAUGAGACAUCAUGCAGAACACCGACCCACUACAUCAAUGAUCUUUCCUAGGGAUCCCUGAGAUCCUGACUCCCUGUCAUGGGAUCUGGAGUAACAGCGCCGUGGACCAGGGCAUCUACUUGGUAAUGAAAGAAAUGAGCAUACAACUACAGAAUCUGCUGGCCCAUAAGCCCUAUAAACCAAAAUCUAAGGACCUGACAGAAGGUUGAGAUGCAUUCCUGGGCUACUGCCAGGACUCCACCUUGGGGUGACACCCUGCAAGGACACUGUACAACACAUGGAAUAUUCUUAGGCCUUUAUUUGGUUCCAAAGUGUUUAAAUUAUACUGAAACAGAAACAAGAGGCUGGGAUCUGCCUCUAAUAUUUUAAUAUGUUUAAUUUUUUGGCUUUUAACGAUGAUCUGAAAAGACCACCCAGCAGAAGAGUGAAAGUAGAGAACAAUGACAUUAAAUUUAAAACAAAUCAUUGUAAUUCACAGGUUAGCCUGCAGAUGGUGCCAUAUUACUACUUUUUCUCUUUGCUUUUUCUUCGCUUUAAACCAUCACCUUGACUGCCGUGGGUCAGUGUCCGUCUGGUUGUGACAAACGGGAAGGCAGGCCACAGUCACUGAUUCUCAAAACAUUUGGAGUGGAUUUUAUACUGUCUGAUGUGCAAUCUUCCUUCAAAGAAAGAUAGAUGGUAUUGCUAAUAAAAUUAAAACAGCUCCAAGAAUGGCAGAAUGUAAUGGAAUUUAGGGAGCCUUCUGUCUAACUAUCAGCAGAUAAGAAAGUUAUUUCCUCAAAAUAAUACAGCCAGUAAUUGUCAGGGACAAGCCUCUGCUUCUGACCUUCAGUCACAAGUUAGCCUUAGUUCUGUUACCCCGUUAUUGUCUUCUCACAGGUUAGGGUAAACAUUAUCUCGAGAAUUUGAGAACAUCCUUAUUGGAGAUAGUUUUUAAACCCUGGUUGGCAAUAAUUAACACCCUUGAAUGGGCAGUAGAUUGUACAAACACCACAUGGAAAUGUCAUUGCUUGAUUACAGCAAAGUAAAAAGCCACUAGUCUACAGACUCAGAUUAAAUAUGGAAUAACACAUUUAAGAAACCAGAGAGUAUUUAUGAUUAAGAAGUGGGAAGGAGGAUUAUGGGAUGUGUAAGGGUGGAGGCGGCACAAUUAACGUAUUUUUUGUGCCAUGCACAGUUGUACAUGUUUCUGGGAAAAUAACAGAUCCAAUUAAUUAAUCUUGUCCAUUGGCAGAGUGGGCAAUGAAAUAUACAGUAUGGCUUCAGGGGCACUGGAAAGUAUUCCUGAAUCAUUUGCUCUUAAGUUGAGUUCAAGUUUUUCUGCCCAUUGUGGUACCAUUAAGGCUUAUCGAGAUGUGGGGUCCUGUGUACUAGGUGGGCACUGGUGAAAUGUGACCGUAAGGCGGAGAUUCUCAUACUUUUUGUUUAGAAGAACACUCUACGGUAUUAAAAGUUAUUAAGCACCCCAAAGAGCUUUUGUUUUUGUGGGUUACCGCCAUCGAUAUCCACCAUAUUAGACAUUAAAACAGAAAAA